GGUAAGGUUAAGGACUUAAGGUCCGGAGCCGAAGCGAAAGCGAGUGUUAAGAGCACGAAGAAUCACGUAUCAUAGACCCGAAACCGGGUGAUCUAUCCAUGUCCAGGAUGAAGCUGCCGUAAGAGGUAGUGGAGGUCCGAACACACAUCCGUUGAAAAGGGUGGUGAUGAGGUGUGGAUAGGGGAGAAAUUCCAAUCGAACCCGGAGAUAGCUGGUUCUCCUCGAAAUAGCUUUAGGGCUAGCCUUCAGUUAGUCUGCCGCAGGUAGAGCACUGAAUUUCCUAGGGGGCGUCAAAGCCUACCGAAGAAUAUCAAACUGCGAAUGGCGGACAGAUGAUGCUGGGGAGUCAGACUGCACGAGAUAAGUUGGGUGGUCAAAAGGGAAAGAGCCCAGACCUACAGCUAAGGUCCCAAAGUGCGUGUUAAGUGGAAAAGGAUGUGGGAUUUCGAAGACAACUAGGAUGUUGGCUCAGAAGCAGCCAUACAUUAAAAGAGUGCGUAAUAGCUCACUAGUCGAGAGGUCCUGCGCCGAAAAUGUCCGGGGCUGAAACACGACACCGAAGCUUAGGAAUGUAAUACAUUGGUAGAGGAGCAUUGUUAGCGGAACGAAGCCAUACCGGAAGGAGUGGUGGACUGCUAAGAAGAGAGAAUGCCGGAAUGAGUAGCGAGAAUGAAGUGAGAAUCUUCAUGGCCGAAUAUCUAAGGUUUCCAGGGUAAAGCUGAUCUGCCCUGGGUAAGUCGGGGCCUAAGGCGAGGUCGAAAGACGUAGCCGAUGGACAACAGGUUGAAAUUCCUGUACUGCGAUAUAUCAGAAAUGUGGGGACACAGAAGGAAAGUGUGAGCCGGGAAAGGAAAGACCGGUGCAAGCACAGGAGGAGAGAUGCAGGCAAAUCCGCAUCCCAAUCCAAAGGUGUGACGCGGAGCGAACAAAAGUAGCGAAGCACAUGGACCAUCUGUCGAGAAAAGCCGCUAUUGUGUAUAUUGUACCCGUACCGUAAACCGACACAGGUGGAUGAGGAGAGAAUCCUAAGGCCGGCGGGAGAAGCAUUGUUAAGGAACUCGGCAAAAUGACCCCGUAACUUCGGGAGAAGGGGUGCUCACGCAAGUGAGCCGCAGAGAACUGGCCCAAGCAACUGUUUAGCAAAAACACAGGUCUAUGCAAAACCGAAAGGUGAGGUAUAUGGGCUGACGCCUGCCCGGUGCUGGAAGGUUAAGAGGAGAUGUUAGAGCAAUCGAAGCAUUGAAUUUAAGCCCCAGUAAACGGCGGCCGUAACUAUAACGGUCCUAAGGUAGCGAAAUUCCUUGUCGGGUAAGUUCCGACCCGCACGAAAGGCGUAAUGAUUUGGGCACUGUCUCGACAAUGCACCCGGUGAAAUUGAAAUACCAGUGAAGAUGCUGGUUACCUGCGCCAGGACGGAAAGACCCCAUGGAGCUUUACUCUAGCUUGAUACUGGGAUUCGGUAUUGCAUGUACAGGAUAGGUGGGAG
RNAcentral lists this ribosomal RNA (1486 nucleotides) under gut metagenome. Its description in RNAcentral is "bacterial LSU rRNA". It matches the Rfam family "Bacterial large subunit ribosomal RNA", at positions 639 to 2153 of the family's 2925-position model. The record is from RNAcentral.